RNAcentral lists this ribosomal RNA (373 nucleotides) under uncultured organism. Its description in RNAcentral is "partial 16S ribosomal RNA". It matches the Rfam family "Bacterial small subunit ribosomal RNA", at positions 527 to 896 of the family's 1533-position model. The record is from RNAcentral.
GUAGGUGGCAAGCGUUGUCCGGAAUUAUUGGGCGUAAAGCGCGCGCAGGCGGUUCUUUAAGUCUGGUGUGAAAGCCCACGGGCUCAACCGUGGAGGGUCAUUGGAAACUGGAGAACUUGAGUACAGAAGAGGAAAGCGGAAUUCCACGUGUAGCGGUGAAAUGCGUAGAGAUGUGGAGGAACACCAGUGGCGAAGGCGGCUUUCUGGUCUGUAACUGACGCUGAGGCGCGAAAGCGUGGGGAGCAAACAGGAUUAGAUACCCUGGUAGUCCACGCCGUAAACGAUGAGUGCUAAGUGUUAGGGGGUUUCCGCCCCUUAGUGCUGCAGCUAACGCAUUAAGCACUCCGCCUGGGGAGUACGGCCGCAAAGGCUG